Molecule: small RNA, 107 nt
Filed under: Marmota monax (woodchuck)
Lineage: Eukaryota; Metazoa; Chordata; Mammalia; Rodentia; Sciuridae
Source: RNAcentral
GCGAGGUGCGGUGGUGCACGCCUGUAAUCUCAGCAGUUUGGGAAGCUGAGGCAGGAGGAUCUGUGACUUAGUGAGGCACUAAGCAACUCAGUGAGACCCUGUCUCUA